AGGGGGCGGGCGGAGGCUGGAGCCGGGGCGGGCCGAGCGCGCGGGGCGGGGACGCGGGCGACGCUGGCGCCCGCGGGUCCCGUGACCGUGCGCCCCGCCCGGAGUCGCCGCGGUCAUGCAGUCCCCGGCGGUGCUCGUCACCUCCAGGCGAGUUCAGAAUGUCCACACGGGCCUCGACCUGACCGUGCCCCAGCACCAGGAGGUGCGGGGCAAGAUGAUGUCAGGCCACGUGGAGUACCAGAUCCUGGUGGUUACCCGGCUGGCUGCAUUCAAGUCGGCUAAGCACAGGCCCGAGGAUGUCGUCCAGUUCUUGGUCUCGAAAAAGUACAGUGAGGUCGAGGAGUUCUACCAGAAACUGAGCAGUCGUUACCCCACGUCCAGCCUUCCCCCGCUCCCCAAGAAGGUCCUGUUCGUUGGGGAGUCCGACAUCCGGGAAAGAAGAGCCGUGUUCAAUGAGAUUCUGCGCUGUGUCUCGAAGGACGCCGAGUUGGCAGGAAGCCCAGAGCUGUUAGAAUUCUUAGGCACCAGAUCCCCAGGGUCUGCGGACCUCACCAGCAGAGAUGUCUCUGUCCUGGAUUCACACAGCCAGGCCCAGGAUGACGAGGCUUUCGACUUCUUCGAGCAGCAGGACCGAGCGGAGGCUGAGGGUCUGCCCAUCCCAGGCCAGAAGGGUGAGGAUGCAAGAAACUCCUCCGAGGACGAAGAGGAGGAAGCACUGGACCCUCUGGGCAUCAUGCGCUCUAAGAAGUCCAAGAAACGCCCCGAAGUGGCUGUGAAGCCUAAACCCUCACCCCGACUCACCAUUUUUGAUGAGGAGGUGGACCCUGAUGAGGGGCUCUUCGGCCCAAGCACGAAGCUCUCCCCGCAGCGCCCCGCAGAGGACGUGCCCCUCGAGGACCCCCUGAAGUUGUUUGAAGAUCCUGACCUCGGUGGUGCCGUCCCUCUGGAUGACCCCUUACUGCUGCCUGCCGCCCGUGAGAGUAGAGGGCCCACGUCCCACGCGGAGCUGUUCAGGGAGCAGAGAUUUCUGUCUGUUCAGACCCCAGUUGACUUCGCAAACAUUGGGCCCCUGCUGCAUGCAAGGUCUGGGCUACAAGGGAGUGAGUGAUGAAGGAGAUGGAGUCCCUGCUUCUAGAACCUGGACACCCUCCCCACCCCCGCCAGUGGCCCCGCUGCUCCUAUCAUGGCUCAGCUUCUAGAGGAGUUGUCUGAGCAGGCGGGCAGCUCCCAGGCUGGAUCUCGGCUGCCAACGGAACACGCCUGCUAUCCUGUGGCAUUGCCCACCUGGCCAGCCUGACAGCCUGGCAGUCUGACCACACUGGGAGUGAGCAGAGGCAGCCAGGGGAGAGUGCAGAGCCUGGCCCGUGAGCCCCAUUCCGGGAUCGGACACAGGUGCCCCUUUCACUCCCAGGCCCAGAAGGUAGACUCCAGGAAGACCAUGGAUUCCAGGCUGGCUCAGCUGUCUGUAGGGAACUGGGCAGAAGGAGGCUUCUUUCUUGUUUCUUCUUGGAGAAUUCUUAUCACUGUGGUAAUUCCUAUGAAGUUGCAUUCCCUGAUUUUCCAAGUAAACGUGUGUGUGCAUGUGUGCAUGCGUGUGUGUGUGACGUGCUGGGGCCUGUGCCGCAGAGCCUAGAACAUCAGCAGGCACUGAGUAAACACUUGUCAGAUGAAUGGAAAAAAUGAGGCCGCUAUACAUCUGCCAUCCGCCAGCCAUAAGCAAUCAAUCCAACAGCAUUUGGUGCUGGUUUUGGUAUUUCUGAGCUUAUCAAUUGAACUUCUUUGUUCGUUUAGUUAUUCCACUGGGGACCAAGUCUUCACUGGGCCUUUUAACACAGUGAGAAAGGGUUCAUAUAGGCACACUUGGCCCCAGCACGGUGUCAUGCCAGGAUGGCAGGCUCCCUGGAGCAGAUGGGCCUGACGUUCAUCUGUCGGCAUGAGUGGACUUGGUUAGGCAAGGCUGGAGGGGAGAGCGUAAAUGAUCUUAAUUGUCAGGGAAAGGGGUCUGGGCUUUCUCUGUGGCGGGAGGGGGGGGGCACUCCUGUUUAUACCACAGAUGGCCCAUCCGCAUGCAAAUAACAAUUUCAUACUCUCACCUGGGUCAGGGGUGACCCUAGAGUGGGGUUUCAUGAACAAUGAGAAAGUGUCCAGAUCCAGAGCCACUGGGGUUUUUUGGGUGUUCCAACAUAGAGGCAGUGAUUGGAUUGGAUUUAGAAUACAAUUCUUCUGAGCAACUUACGAAAAGUAUUGACUCCAGUGCAUAAUUUUUUAAGUAAUUGGAGCACUUUGAGUUCAUUGGGUUAGGAGCUUAACCUGUAAUGUGAGCUGUUAAAUUACACUCACAAAGGGUGAGGCCUCAGUAAUGAUCCCUCUGGUCCAAGGAUGUCUGCUGACUUACCCAAAAAAAAAAACCAUACAAUGCAUUUCUUUGUAGGGUGGGGGUUUUUUCUGCUUCUAACAGCACAAGUGUGUGAAGAUCUAGCAAGUUGGAAAGAGAUUGACUGUUAAAGGAGUUCAAGCUCUGAUUAUUUGCUAUUGCGUGGUUCAGAGAAAACUAUCAUUGGCUGAGGAGCUCGGACUUUGGGGCAGUGCAGGAUGUUUCAAAUGCCAGCCCAGUGGUAAAAUAGAAGUGCCUUAGUCACCAGCUCUGAGAUGGGGGGGCCUGAGUGUGGGGGCCUUAAACCAACGCACUUUGUGACUUUGAAGCCCAGAUCACUUUGUUCAUUUCAAUUUGUUCAACAAAUAUUUACCAAGUGCUUUCUUUCAAGGCCUUUGGAAGGGGUAGUCUUAAAAAUAUUGAACAAGCAGGAUGGUACGGACCACAAGCACUCAGAAUGAGGAACUGACCGAUGAGAAUGGACACUGCCUAUAAACAACCAACACAUUCUGAUUUCCGCAGGCGAGGCCUCAGCCCUGGAGCUGGGAAGACAGGGAGCACAACAUUCUAGUGGCCUUGAUAGGAGGGGUCAGUGGGGCUCCCCAGAUGAGAUGCUUCUAAGCUGAGUCUUGCAGGACAAGAGGAAGCAAGGAAGGAGGCAGACAUUUCAGGCACAAGUAGGGUGCAGGGUGGGCACCACACAGACAAAAAGUCAAAGCAAGAGAGAUCCUGGGGUUUCAGGAACCUUCCAGUAGCUGAUUGAGGCUAUGGGAAGUAAGGAUGCUGGGAGGGACCAGACCAGGAGGACCUUGCAUGAUUUAAUAAUACUUUAGGAUUUAAUUCCUCAAGUUGAUUUGGAACAGUUGAAGGAUUUCUGAUCAGGGAGAAAUAGGACCAAAGUGUUUUUAGAAAGAUCAAUGCCUAUAUUCUAAUUAACAGGUGAGCAUAAGGGGACAGAGGGGUAACCAGAAACUCUCCAAGUGAGAGAAGAUGAGCUAGGGUUUAGAAAAGAGUUGCUCUUGGAAUGCCUAUGUGGCUCAGUUGGUUAAGCCUCUGCUUUCAGCUCAGGUCAUGAUCCCAGGGUCCUGGGAUCGAGCCCCGCAUCGGGCUCCCUGCUCGGCGGGAAGCCUGC
Molecule: RNA transcript, 3506 nt
Organism: Zalophus californianus (California sea lion)
Lineage: Eukaryota; Metazoa; Chordata; Mammalia; Carnivora; Otariidae
Gene: HS1BP3
Gene name: HCLS1 binding protein 3
Exons: 8
Source: RefSeq, a predicted model, not a curated record